This is a non-coding RNA of Cinara cedri, 244 nucleotides long. The record is from the annotation of a GenBank genome assembly. Lineage: Eukaryota; Metazoa; Arthropoda; Insecta; Hemiptera; Aphididae.
GGAAAAAAAAAUCUAAUGGAAAACGAGGGGGGAAAAAGCGAGAUAGAAAAGUCUUCCGAAGUUACAUUUAAGUACGUAAACCGGGCAAAGGGUCUCUACGCAUAACAAUGGGUUAUCCUACACACAAAUGCGGUGAAAAGUUAUCUAUUAGAAUAAGCAUAACGUUUGGGUUCUGAAAACUUUUAAUGACAUCUUACCUGCGCAGCAUCAGACUUUUGUAAACAUAUUUCAAUUUCUGAAUGUA